This is an RNA transcript of Myotis davidii, 1995 nucleotides long. It is a transcript of the gene named phospholipid phosphatase 1, with no coding region annotated. The record is from RefSeq and is a predicted model, not a curated record. The transcript is spliced from 3 exons. Lineage: Eukaryota; Metazoa; Chordata; Mammalia; Chiroptera; Vespertilionidae.
GCGCCCCCCUACACACACCCCACACCCACAGUCGAUAAAUUUAUCACACAGGGUGUUAAUGGGCCUUGCCCGACAUGGUGAUCUGGUUACCAGUGCCUGUGGCUGAGGAACCCCCGCAGAUCAGUCCCGUCCCAUUCCCUGCCACACUCCACCGCCAAGAUGUUGGUGCUGUGGACAUGCUAUGUCUGCUGCUGGUCAGCAUUCCCACCCAGCUGAGUGAGAGCAGUUUGCUGGUACCCCACAUCCGGGUCAUCUUUGCAAUGAAACCACCAUCACAUGCACCCUGGUGGUUCAUUACAUUGUUGAGGACUCAGCACUCAUUACCAUGGUCUUCUCAUCUCCAUCUGCAUGGUAAGGGGCCGGCCACUUUCACCCCAUGCAGCAGUGAGGUGCCACAGGCAAGCUUCAGCCCUUUUUCUGGCAAAGUGGGGAACCCCACCCAUUACAGGCCUAAGGCAGGAGGAAGUGCCACCUCUUUUCCUAAUGAAAUGGGGAAUCUUGCUGCUCGGUGGCAUAGAAGAAAUCUUUUCCCCGAGGAAAAGGUAAGGCUCACCCCUUGCUGACACAGAAGAGGGGAAAUGCCAGCCUCUCAGCCUUGGGCAUGCAACAAGAGCAUCCCCUCUCCUCCAGUGAACAAAGAAGUCCACCUCUUACAUGCAUAAAACAGGAAGCAAUCCUGCCCGCUUUGGGGGAGUUGGGAAAUAUUCCCCUUUCAAACAGAGGGAACAUCCUGCCUCUUUCUUGUGGUAAAAAGGGAAGUCCUCCCAUUUUCAGUCAUUCAGGAGGUCUAUCCUUUUCUCCUGGUGUAAUAGGAAGUCCUGCUCCUUUCGGAUAGGUGACAGGAAACCCUGCCUACGCCUGACAUAAACUAGGCGCCAUCCAACCCUUUUCCUGGGUAACAGGAAGUCCCACCUCUUUCAGAUUUGGAACUCCUGCCCCUGUCUGAGAUCAGCCUGGGAGAGAUGAUCCAUGUCCAGGGCCUGCAGCUGAGCUCACCAGCCUUCAUGAGCAGCACCUACAAGGCCAUGAUCUACAGGCAACCUGGUAUCUUUGGUCCCAGACUGACAUUGGCCAGCUGGUCCCAGACUGACAUUGCCAAGAUGACCACAGGUCACCUGAGGCCCCACUUCCUGGCUGUGUGCCUGCCCAACCGGGUCUCCUUGGACUGCAAAAUUGGCUACAUCACAAACCAGGCAAGCUGAAGACAUCCUCUGUGCCAGGCGAGUGGGCAGCUGGGGAGGAGAACCCAGGAAGGGUCCCCUCACCCCCGCCGCAGCUGAUGACGGCCCUCCCCUACCCAUCCCCCAGGAAAUCCUUCUAUUCUAAGCAUGCCUCUUUCGGGAUGUAUGCCAUGGUGCGUCUGAUGGUGAGUGCUGGCGGGAGACAGGCCACACACCCGGUGAGGUCAGAGAAUGCUCCAUUGUCCCCCGCCCCCACCCCCACCCCAUGCUUGGUGCCAGCAGUGCCAGGCACAGCUUCCAUGGAGCUUGUGUGUGUGUCCCUGGAGUUGGGAGGGCAAGAAUGGGGAGGGCCUAUCUCCUCUUAAGGCUCAUUCAGUGUCUCUGUCCCAGAAUGGCAACUUCCAGAACCCUGUCUCCUCUUCCCUGCAGCUGGAGACGGCCCGUGCCAGGCUAGGUCCAUGCCCAGGGCUAGGUUCCACCAGGAGCGGGUGGGAGGGAAAUCAGAUCCAGCUGAGGUGCAGGUCCAAAGUUUUGGUAGUGAGGUGGCAGGAGGGGCUGGGGAGAAGGGAACCCGCUGGGAAGCAGCCGAUGACCCCGUGGACAAAGAGAGCAUAGAUUCUGGUGGUGGAAUUGGAUCACAUACAUGGGAGCCAGCCCAGAGCACCUGGGCACGCGGUGAACAAACACAAUGACACAGACAGCGGCCCAGGCCACGGGGCAUGUGACAGUCACACGGAUGUUUUCACACCAGCAACCCAGCAACAUUUCUUCCUGAAAGACAACCCAUUCUGCUGCCAGCCUUCAAAAAAGAAAA